GACCAGAAAGCCACGGCUAACUACGUGCCAGCAGCCGCGGUAAUACGUAGGUGGCAAGCGUUGUCCGGAAUUAUUGGGCGUAAAGCGCGCGCAGGCGGUUCCUUAAGUCUGAUGUGAAAGCCCACGGCUCAACCGUGGAGGGUCAUUGGAAACUGGGGAACUUGAGUGCAGAAGAGGAGAGUGGAAUUCCACGUGUAGCGGUGAAAUGCGUAGAGAUGUGGAGGAACACCAGUGGCGAAGGCGACUCUCUGGUCUGUAACUGACGCUGAGGCGCGAAAGCGUGGGGAGCAAACAGGAUUAGAUACCCUGGUAGUCCACGCCGUAAACGAUGAGUGCUAAGUGUUAGAGGGUUUCCGCCCUUUAGUGCUGCAGCAAACGCAUUAAGCACUCCGCCUGGGGAGUACGGCCGCAAGGCUGAAACUC
RNAcentral lists this ribosomal RNA (423 nucleotides) under Bacillus sp. MN07-04. Its description in RNAcentral is "bacterial SSU rRNA". It matches the Rfam family "Bacterial small subunit ribosomal RNA", at positions 481 to 902 of the family's 1533-position model. Lineage: Bacteria; Bacillati; Bacillota; Bacilli; Caryophanales; Bacillaceae. The record is from RNAcentral.